This 490-nucleotide ribosomal RNA is filed under the name uncultured bacterium. RNAcentral's name for it is "partial 16S ribosomal RNA". It matches the Rfam family "Bacterial small subunit ribosomal RNA", at positions 30 to 507 of the family's 1533-position model. The record is from RNAcentral.
AUUGAACGCUGGCGGCAGUCCUAACACAUGCAAGUCGAACGGUAACAGAAAGCAGCUUGCUGCUUUGCUGACGAGUGGCGGACGGGUGAGUAAUGUCUGGGAAACUGCCUGAUGGAGGGGGAUAACUACUGGAAACGGUAGCUAAUACCGCAUAACGUCGCAAGACCAAAGAGGGGGACCUUCGGGCCUCUUGCCAUCGGAUGUGCCCAGAUGGGAUUAGCUUGUUGGUGGGGUAACGGCUCACCAAGGCGACGAUCCCUAGCUGGUCUGAGAGGAUGACCAGCCACACUGGAACUGAGACACGGUCCAGACUCCUACGGGAGGCAGCAGUGGGGAAUAUUGCACAAUGGGCGCAAGCCUGAUGCAGCCAUGCCGCGUGUAUGAAGAAGGCCUUCGGGUUGUAAAGUACUUUCAGCGGGGAGGAAGGGAGUAAAGUUAAUACCUUUGCUCAUUGACGUUACCCGCAGAAGAAGCACCGGCUAACUCCGUG